CCUACGGGAGACAGCAGUGAGGAAUAUUGGUCAAUGGGCGUAAGCCUGAACCAGCCAAGUCGCGUGAGGGAUGAAGGUUCUAUGGAUCGUAAACCUCUUUUAUAAGGGAAUAAAGUGUGGGACGUGUCCUAUUUUGUAUGUACCUUAUGCAUAAGGAUCGGCUAACUCCGUGCCAGCAGCCGCGGUAAUACGGAGGAUCCGAUCGUUAUCCGGAUUUAUUGGGUUUAAAGGGUGCGUAGGCGGCCUUUUAAGUCAGCGGUGAAAGUCUGUGGCUCAACCAUCGAAUUGCCGUUGAAACUGGGGGGCUUGAGUAGGUUUGAGGCAGGCGGAAUGCGUGGGGUAGCGGUGAAAUGCUUAGAUAUCACGCAGAACCCCGAUUGCGAAGGCAGCCUGCCAAGCCAUGACUGACGCUGAUGCACGAAAGCGUGGGGAUCAAACAGGAUUAGAUACCCUUGUAGUC
RNAcentral lists this ribosomal RNA (460 nucleotides) under uncultured bacterium. RNAcentral describes it as "partial 16S ribosomal RNA". It matches the Rfam family "Bacterial small subunit ribosomal RNA", at positions 338 to 795 of the family's 1533-position model. The record is from RNAcentral.